Molecule: long non-coding RNA, 548 nt
Organism: Solanum lycopersicum (tomato)
Lineage: Eukaryota; Viridiplantae; Streptophyta; Magnoliopsida; Solanales; Solanaceae
Source: RefSeq, a predicted model, not a curated record
AUAAAUCUUUUGAAAUUUCAACUAAAAAAUUCAGCACAUGAUAUAUCUGGAAAAAUCACCCAGUUAUCUGUUACUGAUAUCAUCCGCUGAAGACUCAGAAGCUGUAUCGUCCAACGUUGAGGUUGAGGCUGUGUCCACAGAGCUACUAUCACAAUCUGAAGAUGCAAGACUUUGGUCCUCUGUCGGUUGUUUCAAGUGCCAAUACAUUAUACUUGCUGUCAGCGAUUUGCACUGCUUCCAUUUUUCUCGCUGUUUUCUUACUCUCUAUACUUGGAUUUGCUACACUUGAGCCGAGGGUCUUUUGAAAACGGUAUCUCUACCUCUACGAGGUAAUGGUAAGGCCUGCGUAUACUUUACCCUCCACAGACCCCAAUUGUGGAUUCCACUGGGUAUGUUGAUGUUGUUAUCCAUUUGAUGAUAAAUUGUUAUCGUGAUGCCAAACUAUAAAUAUUAUGCGUGAAAAUAUCAGGAACCAAUUUAUUUUGUGCACCACCAAGCAAGUAUAUUGACUUGAAUUACUGGAAGCAGGAACCUGUUCAAGUCUAAAA